RNAcentral lists this ribosomal RNA (486 nucleotides) under Bacillus sp. N11. RNAcentral's name for it is "bacterial SSU rRNA". It matches the Rfam family "Bacterial small subunit ribosomal RNA", at positions 441 to 917 of the family's 1533-position model. The record is from RNAcentral. Lineage: Bacteria; Bacillati; Bacillota; Bacilli; Caryophanales; Bacillaceae.
AGGGAAGAACAAGUACCGUUCAAAUAGGGCGGGACCUUGACGGUACCUAACCAGAAAGCCACGGCUAACUACGUGCCAGCAGCCGCGGUAAUACGUAGGUGGCAAGCGUUAUCCGGAAUUAUUGGGCGUAAAGCGCGCGCAGGCGGUCCUUUAAGUCUGAUGUGAAAGCCCACGGCUCAACCGUGGAGGGUCAUUGGAAACUGGGGGACUUGAGUGCAAAAGAGGAGAGCGGAAUUCCACGUGUAGCGGUGAAAUGCGUAGAGAUGUGGAGGAACACCAGUGGCGAAGGCGGCUCUCUGGUCUGUAACUGACGCUGAGGCGCGAAAGCGUGGGGAGCGAACAGGAUUAGAUACCCUGGUAGUCCACGCCGUAAACGAUGAGUGCUAAGUGUUAGAGGGUUUCCGCCCUUUAGUGCUGCAGCAAACGCAUUAAGCACUCCGCCUGGGGAGUACGGUCGCAAGACUGAAACUCAAAGGAAUUGACGGA